RNAcentral lists this long non-coding RNA (297 nucleotides) under Brassica napus (rape). Its description in RNAcentral is "long non-coding RNA (BNAP_LNC001312)". Lineage: Eukaryota; Viridiplantae; Streptophyta; Magnoliopsida; Brassicales; Brassicaceae. The record is from RNAcentral.
CUGCAAGGUUUGCUAUCGUAGCCUCGUUGAUGAUAGCUUCCGCUUCUGCUCUCUUGGCUGCAAGGUACAAUUUUUUAUCUUUUUUCAUUUGUGUUAAAGUCAAAAGGAAGAAACUUUGGUAUUGGGUACACACAUUUUAAGGAUCUCUUACCAUUUCAUUGCCUUUUUUGAGUAAAAAGAUGAAAACUUUUUGAAAUGGGUCAUCUUCAAAUUUGGUUUAUUCUUUUACAGUUUCACCUAACGUUUCCAAGCAUUAGUUUUUCCUGUUUAGUCUUGUCCAAAAAAAGAACAAAACUU